AACUGUGAGGAUGAUCUGGGUGCAACAUCUGUCACCCCUUUGAUCACCAGGGUUGAUUGGGCUGACCUGACUGGCUAGGCAGGUGUCCCCUUCCUCUCUCACCACUCUGUGUGUGUCCCUCCUGAAGCUGUUAUGCUCAAAGAGGAUGACCAUCCCUGAUAGAGGAGGACUGGUCUUUGGUCAAGGGUAUAUGAGUAGCUGUCUUCUUCUGCUAGGACUUCCAAACAAGCUCUCAAAAGUCAUAAGAGAAGUACAAAUAUAAUAAAGAACUUACAUUUAUUUGUUUCCCUGAUCAUAUGUUUAUUGAUUAGAAGAAAAUAAAAU
Cebus imitator (Panamanian white-faced capuchin) is the source of this 324-nucleotide unclassified non-coding RNA. Its record names the gene 7SK. It matches the Rfam family "7SK RNA". From Rfam's summary of the family: 7SK was discovered as an abundant small nuclear RNA in the mid-70s but a possible function has only recently been suggested. Two independent studies have found that 7SK RNA binds the CDK9/cyclin T complex (known as elongation factor P-TEFb). Lineage: Eukaryota; Metazoa; Chordata; Mammalia; Primates; Cebidae. The record is from Ensembl.